GGGGGUGCCCGGUUUUGACAGCAGGCAGAGUUUGAUUGUAAGCACGCCGAGCGCUGUGCGGCAGCUCGUAAAUAUCGACGCUCGAACUACAAAUGGCAAUAACAGCUAUGCACUCGCUGCCUAAUUUUCAAGGAAAAUUGGCUUAAUCGCCGCGGCCGAGGCGCCGCAGCGACGAGUAUCCCGGAGGAGGGUUCCGCUCCCUAAUCUUCUUCCAUACGGGGUAUCAUCGAUUCGGAGAUAGUGCGCCGGAGCGUUCCGGCCGGUGCGCGAAAUUCAAGGAACUGGGAUCCGGGUUCGGCCGUCGCCUGCCAGACCCGGAUAGAAGGAUCAAACGGCGACUAAGCGUGUAGAAAGCUUUCGGGUUCCUUGUUUGGACGCGGGUUCGACUCCCGCCACCUCCACUU
This 404-nucleotide transfer-messenger RNA is filed under the name Alistipes sp. It matches the Rfam family "transfer-messenger RNA". From Rfam's summary of the family: Bacterial tmRNA, also known as 10Sa RNA or SsrA, is named for its dual tRNA and mRNA-like properties. Its role is to liberate the mRNA from a stalled ribosome. To accomplish this part of the tmRNA is used as a reading frame that ends in a translation stop signal. Lineage: Bacteria; Pseudomonadati; Bacteroidota; Bacteroidia; Bacteroidales; Rikenellaceae. The record is from RNAcentral.